GGGCGGAUAGCUCAGUUGGGAGAGCGCCAGCUUUACACGCUGGAUGUCGUGGGUUCGAGCCCCUCUCCGCCUACCA
This 76-nucleotide transfer RNA is filed under the name Nitrospirota bacterium. Its description in RNAcentral is "Nitrospirae bacterium (marine sediment metagenome) tRNA-Val". It matches the Rfam family "tRNA". Rfam says of the family: Transfer RNA (tRNA) molecules are approximately 80 nucleotides in length. Their secondary structure includes four short double-helical elements and three loops (D, anti-codon, and T loops). Lineage: Bacteria; Pseudomonadati; Nitrospirota. The record is from RNAcentral. RNAcentral also lists the same sequence under 2 other names.